AUGCAACCCAAAAUGAAAACUGAUAUAGCCUCACAAAAAUUUUAAAAUUGUGAUAGAGAUUGUAUUCAUCAGUAGAAGUACACACGACCUGAAUGAAGCAUGAAAACUAUUAUCAUCGAGUGAACAUGCUCCCUUGUAUAUAUAAUAGAGCUGGUAUAGAUAAUAAAGGAGUACAAUAUUGAUGGAAGGAUUUCUGACUGAAACGAAUCAGCUGACAUGUGUGAGCUCUCCCACUCCUUCAGUGAUGAUGUCACCAUCGCUAAGUUAUUUCUAAGCAAAACCCCAGCCACACCAUUGUCUGUAUCAUACCAGAAAAGCAGCAUCGCCGCCCUAGUAUAUAACUGUAAUACUCCCU
RNAcentral lists this long non-coding RNA (355 nucleotides) under Setaria viridis. RNAcentral describes it as "long non-coding RNA (SVIR_LNC002592)". The record is from RNAcentral. Lineage: Eukaryota; Viridiplantae; Streptophyta; Magnoliopsida; Poales; Poaceae.